This 245-nucleotide ribosomal RNA is filed under the name uncultured bacterium. RNAcentral's name for it is "partial 16S ribosomal RNA". It matches the Rfam family "Bacterial small subunit ribosomal RNA", at positions 524 to 768 of the family's 1533-position model. The record is from RNAcentral.
UACGAAGGGGGCUAGCGUUGCUCGGAAUCACUGGGCGUAAAGCGCACGUAGGCGGAUUGCUAAGUCAGGGGUGAAAUCCUGGAGCUCAACUCCAGAACUGCCUUUGAUACUGGCGACCUUGAGUCCGGGAGAGGUGAGUGGAACUGCGAGUGUAGAGGUGAAAUUCGUAGAUAUUCGCAAGACACCAGUGGCGAAGGCGGCUCACUGGCCCGGUACUGGACGCUGAGGUGCGAAAGCGUGGGGAG